This 501-nucleotide ribosomal RNA is filed under the name uncultured bacterium. RNAcentral describes it as "partial 16S ribosomal RNA". It matches the Rfam family "Bacterial small subunit ribosomal RNA", at positions 899 to 1397 of the family's 1533-position model. The record is from RNAcentral.
ACUCAAAGGAAUUGACGGGGGCCCGCACAAGCGGUGGAGCAUGUGGUUCAAUUCGACGCAACGCGAAGAACCUUACCUGGGUUGGAACCCUCCAGAAGUCCCCAGAGAUGGGGAUGUGCCCGCAAGGGAGCUGGAUGUCCAGGUGCUGCAUGGCUGUCGUCAGCUCGUGUCGUGAGAUGUUGGGUUAAGUCCCGCAACGAGCGCAACCCUUGUCGUUAGUUGCCAGCGGUUCGGCCGGGCACUCUAACGAGACUGCCGGUGUUAAACCGGAGGAAGGUGGGGAUGACGUCAAGUCCUCAUGGCCCUUAUGCCCAGGGCUACACACGUGCUACAAUGGUCGGUACAAAGGGUCGCAAAGCCGCGAGGCCAAGCUAAUCUCAAAAAACCGACCUCAGUUCAGAUUGAAGUCUGCAACUCGACUUCAUGAAGUCGGAAUCGCUAGUAAUCCCUGAUCAGCAGGCAGGGGUGAAUACGUUCCCGGGCCUUGCACACACCGCCCGU